Molecule: long non-coding RNA, 518 nt
Filed under: Capsicum annuum
Lineage: Eukaryota; Viridiplantae; Streptophyta; Magnoliopsida; Solanales; Solanaceae
Description: long non-coding RNA (CANN_LNC001412)
Source: RNAcentral
UUGCUUCUUUUGGAGCCAUGAUGAAGGGAGUUCUGGUUUCAGCUUCAGCUGGAAAUCGAGUUCCGCAUAUUGGAUGUUUAAACAAUGGAUCUCCAUGGAUCUUGUGUGUGGCAUCAGGACACACUGACCCGACAUUUGCAGGAACUUUGACAAUAGGCAAUGGCAUAAAAAGUAGGGGGUGGAGCUUGUUUCCUGCAAGAGUCAUUGUUAUGGAUUCAGCAGAUUUACAACAGCACUCUAUUCAGUUGAUCCGUAUUACCCAUCAUUCAUUGCAUUGUACAGCAGAGAGGGCAACUUCACCUUGUUGGAGCAGAAAUUCAAGAGGAUAGUCACAAAUGUUGGUCAAGGGGCAGCUAAGAUACUUAUAAAGCUAAGAUAACAGUUCCCAAGAACAAUACAGUUUCAGUAUCACUUCAAAUUUUGGUGUUCAAGAACAAAAAAUGAGAAGCAAAGUUAUAUGUUGACAAUUCGUUAUAUAGGUCCCAAUAAUUACGAUGGGUCUAUUACUUGGAUUGAAC